RNAcentral lists this ribosomal RNA (460 nucleotides) under uncultured bacterium. RNAcentral's name for it is "partial 16S ribosomal RNA". It matches the Rfam family "Bacterial small subunit ribosomal RNA", at positions 338 to 795 of the family's 1533-position model. The record is from RNAcentral.
CCUACGGGAGGCAGCAGUGAGGAAUAUUGGUCAAUGGACGCAAGUCUGAACCAGCCAUGUCGCGUGCAGGAAGACGGCUCUAUGAGUUGUAAACUGCUUUUGUACGAGGGUAAACGCAGAUUCUCGUAUCUGUCUGCCACUAUCGUACGAAUAAGGAUCGGCGAACUCCGUGCCAGGAGCCGCGGUAUUACGGAGGAUUCAAGCGUUAUCCGGAUUUAUUACGUUUAAAGGGUGCGUAGGAGGUCGGAUAAGUUAGAGGUGAAAUCCCGAGGCGCAACUUAGGAAUUGCCUCUGAUACUGUUCGGCUAGAGAGUAGUUGCGGUAGGCGGAAUGUAUGGUGUAGCGGUGAAAUGCGUAGAGAUCAUAAAGAACACCGAUUGCGAAGGCAGAUUACCAAGCUACUUCUGACGUUGAGGCACGAAAGCGUGGGGAGCAAACAGGAUUAGAUACCCGAGUAGUC